AGUGUUGGGGACAUCUCCGCUCGCUUUAUAACCAAAUGACACCCCUUCGACUUCUGAACACGUAGGGGCCUAAAGUGUGCGUUUAUUCUCCAGACCCUCUUUACAGAUCGUACUUUAAACAGCGUGAUCUGUGAAUAAACAAAGCCAGUAAACAAUAGAGUGGAGGCUAUGCCCACAUAUAGGAAGAGUACACACACAAACCAAAUUGCACAAGUGUAAACUUUGAAUAGGACGCCGCAGCUCUGUAAAUUUACACAGACAUUAAAUUUGGUUCUAUUCAUUUUAGACAUAUAAUGCUAAGCUGAUUUUUUUAUAGCACACUGAUCGAUAUCUCUGUAAAAUAAUCAUUUUUUUAACUAGCGGGGCAGUGAAAUCUUUGCUUUGUGCUAAAGUCAACAGUGACAGAGUUUGAGCUCAAAUAAAUGCCGUGAUGUCUGGAGCCCUUUGCAGAAGGCAGAAGGCGAGCUCCCACAAUGGGCUUCUGUGUGGCUUGCCAACAACCGGCACCGGCUAUUUUACGCAGGGCUCUGCUGACUGAAGUGAUCCCCACGGCCCUGAGCGGAGGGGGAGGAGGGCGAGGGAGCCUCCGAGGGGAGAGGGAGCGCUGCGACGCGCGCCCACGUGCACGCGCGCGCACUCAAACACUAACACAAUGUCCCUCUCAGUCCUGGGUUGUGACCGGCCCAUGGCAUUGGCCAGAUGCACAGGGCCUCCAUUUGAAGGACACCUUUCGGUCUCCUACAAGCGACACGUCAGCGUCUUCCCGUCGGCGGAUUUGCCCACGUCUCGGUCCGACCUGUCUGCCAUAUUUAAUAUCGAAGCCCCAGUCAGCGCCGAGCUGAAUGGGAACAAAAGCGAGGCCUCCGUUAAUGAUUAACUGUUCUAAAAGCCCCGGCUUUUGUAUUCCCAUGGUGCCCGGGCUAUCUGGCCACCAUGUGACAUGCUCGCAGCGUUUUUCGAGCAGAUUGGGGGAAAGCUAGUGAGCAAACACAGGUGCUUUGGAGCAGCGUUGCCGACGCUGUCAGGGACAACCACAAACAAGAGCAGCAAUGCCUGGCUAAAUGAAUCCCCACCCCUCCCAGCACCGUCACCACCUUCAGCCCCCCCUUUACCAGCUAACUUGUUUGCUAGCUCCCUAUAGGUUUUUCCCUUGCAAAGCCUUCUUUCUGGAGAACACCCCCCAUCUCACACACACACACACACACACACACACACACACACACACACACACACACACACACACACACACACACACACACACACACACACACACACACACACACACACACACACACACACACACACACACGCCUCAGCCUCACUCUACAACUUCUCACACCCUCCAAGGAAACAAACAAAUAAAAGUGAGGACGGCCGACCACUUCUUUGAGGUGGUGGCAUUUGCUGUGGUCAUGACUAGUGGGUGAGCAAACAAAUUAAUGGUGUUCGAGUUUUCACUUUCCAAACCAAACCAAGAGACUUUUAGUUCAAGUGGGGCAAUUCCACUGACCCUAGUGUCACACGCUGCAUAAGGGGUUGCACGCUCUUCAACUUGAAACGCUAAGGGGAGGCUGUAAGAAAUGAAGCAGGGCUUGAAUAUUAAUGUGGUGGCACAUAUAUGAUGCAUAAAUCUCUGUAAGUAAUAAACACUGUUUAUUUCUGCCAGCUGUGUACUGUGGCUGCAAACUUUAAACAUAGGUGUUGGGAGCACUUAACCUUUUCAUCCAGACUGAUUGUUCAGAGUGACUAGGGGUGCUGUGUCGCUCAACUUUGAUAAGACAAUCAGAUGAUAGGACGGCGUUAUCUUAACACGGCUUUCCGGCUGCGAAACAAAUGAACAGCGCGCGAUAACGGGGAACAAAAGCUCAGCUCCUAUUGGCCGGCGCCUCCGAAGAAAGAAUCAUUUAUCAGGGUGGAAAAUUCACAAUAGGUGCAGUUUAUUUCAAUUUCAAUUUUCCACUUAGCCCAAGUCACAGGAAGAGCUUUUUCUUUUUUUUUUUUUUGAAUUGCUCAAAUAUUUAUAUUGGCAUUUUGGUUUCACAGUCUGCAAUUACCUGAACCUAUAAAGCGGUUAUCGCUAGAAAGAAGAUAAUUUUUUUUUUUAAAACAAACAAUUAAAAAUAAACAGGAGAGGAAAUGAAGUUGUAAAUGUGAGAGGGACGUAAAAAAAAAAAAAGAAGAAA
This is a long non-coding RNA of Betta splendens (Siamese fighting fish), 2183 nucleotides long. RefSeq lists it as uncharacterized. The transcript has 3 exons. The record is from RefSeq and is a predicted model, not a curated record. Lineage: Eukaryota; Metazoa; Chordata; Actinopteri; Anabantiformes; Osphronemidae.